RNAcentral lists this ribosomal RNA (172 nucleotides) under Laccaria tortilis. RNAcentral's name for it is "5.8S ribosomal RNA". The stretch from base 6 to 159 matches the Rfam family "5.8S ribosomal RNA". Rfam says of the family: 5.8S ribosomal RNA (5.8S rRNA) is a component of the large subunit of the eukaryotic ribosome. It is transcribed by RNA polymerase I as part of the 45S precursor that also contains 18S and 28S rRNA. Lineage: Eukaryota; Fungi; Basidiomycota; Agaricomycetes; Agaricales; Hydnangiaceae. The record is from RNAcentral.
CAUACAACUUUCAGCAACGGAUCUCUUGGCUCUCGCAUCGAUGAAGAACGCAGCGAAAUGCGAUAAGUAAUGUGAAUUGCAGAAUUCAGUGAAUCAUCGAAUCUUUGAACGCACCUUGCGCUCCUUGGUAUUCCGAGGAGCAUGCCUGUUUGAGUGUCAUUAAAUUCUCAAC